This is a long non-coding RNA of Glossina fuscipes, 1157 nucleotides long. RefSeq lists it as uncharacterized. Lineage: Eukaryota; Metazoa; Arthropoda; Insecta; Diptera; Glossinidae. The record is from RefSeq and is a predicted model, not a curated record. The transcript is spliced from 3 exons.
AAUAACAACUUUUCUAUUUACAACGAAAAUGGGCUAUUACUCCAUUAGAGUUCGAAAUAAGUAUUCUUUUCCAGUAUUAAGUUCGAAAUAAGUAUUCUUUUCCAGUAAUAACUUCUCUGGCGAAAAUUGUUAUACACGCAAUCUCCACCUGCUAGUCGACAGUCCGGGAAAAGGGAGGCAAAAACUGGUGAACGGCAGUUAUGGUGUAGGAUUUGUGCAAAGACUGGUAUUCGAAACAUUACAAAUGCGCUUCUUAAUGAGGAUCCUUUUAGAGGCGCUGCUAACCAAGAGAUAACUUUAAAGGAGACUAUUGAACGAUUCUUUGCAGUCAAGGAUGAAACCGCUCUAAUUGAUGACUAACUAAAUUGCCGCAAAAAUUUCGUUAUGCUUUCUUUACCGAAAUGUUAUGGUACGUGUUAGCCUGCUACGUUUACGUUUUGCUCGGUCAUUCGCAUUUGGAUAGCGAAACUUCGCUAAAUGAAGAUGAAAUGUGUUCACGUCCGCACAUACACUUAACUCAUUAUGAGUCGUUCGGUAUAAAAGAAAUUUUUAUGUAUUUGUACGAUUUACCCCCGCAUAAAAAAUGUGUUCCCGAAUUACUUUGAGAUCCGAUGGCAAUAAUAAAAGAUGUGCGCACAUUGGUAGAACGCUAUUAUAAAAACAAGCCCGAGUUGGCGAUAACAGGAGAGUCGGUUUUAAAACCGCCUGGAAAAAUGCAUCCACAAUUUCAGCUAUACGAUCGGGCGCGGCUGAAACAAGAAAUCAAACAGGAAAUCGUUCGGAAAAAUGCGGAGAUUAUAAGAGAUUAGCAGCAAUUGGAAGCUGCGUAAGCUGCUGGAGUAUCUACAGUGACGACUGAUGAGAAUGGAAUAAUAAGUGCUAUCAAAAAGGAGCCAACUCAAAAUGUAAACCCCCCACAAGUGAUGUUUAUUUGGACUUAUGCGCAAUUUUAAAUUGUACAUUAAAAUUUUAAAGACCUAGGUUAUAUAAUAAUAUAGCGACCAACGAAAUCAAAAAGCGGGAGGUUUAAAUCUCUUUAGGUUUAAUAUAUAUUUUGAGGCGCCCAAUAUUUGUUAUCAAGCCUAAUUGUAUAAGAAAUUAUGAAUAAUUUGGAAGACGAAUAUGCUAAUAAAAGUGCAAUACAUAAUUAACUAAAU